Molecule: ribosomal RNA, 988 nt
Filed under: uncultured bacterium
Lineage: Bacteria
Description: bacterial SSU rRNA
Rfam family: Bacterial small subunit ribosomal RNA
Source: RNAcentral
AGAGUUUGAUCCUGGCUCAGAGCGAACGCUGGCGGCGUGCUUAACACAUGCAAGUCGAGUGCGCGUCUGUAGCAAUACAGAUGGCGCACGGCGCACGGGUGCGUAACACGUGGGUAAUCUGCCCUUCGAAGGGGAAUAACUCGCCGAAAGGCGAGCUAAUUCCGCAUAACAUUCCUUGGACUUUGGUUUGAGGACUCAAAGGCGUAAGUCGUCGGAGGAGGAGCCCGCGCACGAUUAGCUAGUUGGUGAGGUAAUGGCUCACCAAGGCUAUGAUCGUUAGCUGGUCUGAGAGGAUGGCCAGCCACACUGGAACUGAGACACGGUCCAGACUCCUACGGGAGGCAGCAGUGGGGAAUCUUGCACAAUGGGCGAAAGCCUGAUGCAGCGACGCCGCGUGGGGGAUGAAGCUUCUCGGAGUGUAAACCCCUUUCGACCCGGACGAAUGCCCCGCAAGGGGACUGACGGUACGGGUAUAAGAAGCCCCGGCUAACUACGUGCCAGCAGCCGCGGUAAGACGUAGGGGGCCAGCGUUGCUCGGAAUUACUGGGUGUAAAGGGUUCGUAGGCGGUGUGGCAAGUCGGGAGUGAAAUCUCUGGGCUCAACCCAGAGUCUGCUUCCGAAACUGCUGUGCUUGAGUGUGGGAGAGGCGCGUGGAAUUGCAGGUGUAGCGGUGAAAUGCGUAGAUAUCUGCAGGAACACCCGUGGCGAAAGCGGCGCGCUGGACCACUACUGACGCUGAGGAACGAAAGCUAGGGGAGCAAACAGGAUUAGAUACCCUGGUAGUCCUAGCCCUAAACGAUCAGGACUUGGGGUGCCACCCGUUCGGGUGUCGUCCCGGAGCUAACGCGUUAAGUCCUGCACCUGGGGAGUACGGUCGCAAGACUGAACUCAAGGAAUUGACGGGGGCCCGCACAGCGGUGGAACAUGUGGUUCAAUUCGACGCUACGCGAGGAACCUUACCUGGGCUCGAAAUGCUUCUGACAAGCUG